UACGUAGGGUGCAAGCGUUAAUCGGAAUUACUGGGCGUAAAGCGUGCGCAGGCGGUGAUGUAAGACAGGUGUGAAAUCCCCGGGCUUAACCUGGGAACUGCAUUUGUGACUGCAUCGCUGGAGUGCGGCAGAGGGGGAUGGAAUUCCGCGUGUAGCAGUGAAAUGCGUAGAUAUGCGGAGGAACACCGAUGGCGAAGGCAAUCCCCUGGGCCUGCACUGACGCUCAUGCACGAAAGCGUGGGGAGC
RNAcentral lists this ribosomal RNA (246 nucleotides) under uncultured bacterium. RNAcentral's name for it is "partial 16S ribosomal RNA". It matches the Rfam family "Bacterial small subunit ribosomal RNA", at positions 524 to 769 of the family's 1533-position model. The record is from RNAcentral.